CGCCUCACGGGGAGAGAGAAACGCCGCGGGUUGCUUCUGCAGAAAGGAGAAGAAACUGCACUGCAAGAAGACCACGAAGGCCUGACGUUGGGAAAGGAGUGGUUUUGUUGUGUUAUCCCAUCCAGAGUGCUGCAUGCUCCAGGCAAAGCCAGGGCUUGCACCUUUUGGUGCCUCACAGCUCAUGCCAGGUCACAGAGACGAUUUCACAGCAGAUGCAGCAGGAGGGAAGCGUGAAGGAAACAGCUUCAUAGCUCUCGGGUGGCUGUGUCACACGAUGGGAGUGCCCUUGACUCACCAAGCAAGCCUGACGACGAGAGAAGGUAACAAUCCCCUUCGGUGCCUGGGUAGAUCAGGCUCUGAUCUUUGAGCAAAGAUGUUUCUGGGGAGCACUGGAGAUUUCUUCUCGCUCAGAACAGAUCAGUAAUAACGGACUGCUGCUCAGCAGGAAGUGCGGAUCAGCUGCAAGCUGUUGGUCAGGGCAAGGUCUGCACUGUCAGCUGGCAGCAGGUCUGGCCUUCUCAGCCAGCCUUGAUGCUGCUUCCUCCCCACAUCUCUCCUUUCCUGCAUGCUUUCAUCUCCCCUCCAGCCUUCACUCAACACCUGCCUUGUCACCCUUCCAACCCCACACAUACUUCAGUUUUUCUUUCCCAUACAAGCAAUGCUCUGGAUGCCUUUGCAGCCAUUUUUAAGAAAUGCAAAUGUAAAGAAAAUUUGCUUUUUUUUUUUUCCUAAUCAUGAAUGAAACUACAUUGUUCUUGCGUUUUCUUGAUAUGUGUUCUUGAUAAGCAAAUACACCAUUCCUUGUUGCUCAUUUUUGUACAGCAUGACUACUUUAUAGAAAAGUAACAGGAAGCACUUUAUUGUCUGACUACGAAAUGAGGUCACAAUCACAGAAGGGAAGUGACACUCGUGACACUGAGCAUUUUGUCCCCAGACACGUAAAGCAGCCCCUAACCCAGGCUUACUCUCACCCAGCACCCCCCGCUGAGUGGCCAGGCCAGCAGGCCACGCAGCCACCAGCUUUUAAACCCGAAGGUUGACAUGGGCUCAAACUGCGUUUUCAGUGAGAAAAGACACAGCCAUGUCAGUAGAAACUACACUUGCAUUGCCGUGCUGGAGACUGAAGUUGUGUAACUAACCCAGACUUUGUGAGACUGAGGAUGUGUGCUGCUUUCAGCAACUUUUUUUUUCCUUUCUUUUUUUAAACAGACUGGGACUGCACACAGCAGUUUUCUCCUAAGGACAGUUUGCCGUAUAUAUCACUAUUAACUUCUGAAAUAUCACAAUACCCACAGUACCCUAAGCUGGACCAUACCAAAGUUAGCAUUUACAGAAGUGUGCCAUUUGGGGAGUGUUUUACUACUAUUAUCUGUUACACUGAAAAUGGAAGGGUCGGAAACACAUCAAACACACCUCAGAAAGCCUGCAUCCUUCUUGUCUGUCUCUCACUUCAAACUGUUUCCUGUUCAGUACUUGUAGGGUUCACAAGAAGGCCAUCUAUCACAUUCUUGCUUUUUUUCCUCUUUUAUAACUGAGGCUUAACAUGUCUCUUCACAUCCGCUGCAGUUUUAGCAUUAUCUAUUAAUGGCUUAGCGACUGAAUAUUAUCCAGCCAUCACAAGCUUGACCCGACUUCUCUCUACACCUAAAUCUGUGUUUAUUUUGUUCAGUGGCUGAUGAGAUACUAUGGUACAUCAUAAGCAGUUCCGGUUGUUAAUUUGCUAAGAAUUCAUGGCAGUUACUGCACUGAUAGGGGAAGGCUUUGAUCUCACUGUUUGUGCUAGGUUUAGACACAUCUCAGCAUGCACAUAUAGGUUACUUCAGGCUGAACGUGUUGGUAAAUUAUGGCUUUAUAUUCUUGAAGCGAUAAGGCUUUGUUCUGCGCUCAGUACUCAUGAAUGUGCAGCGUCCCUGCUGGCACGGCCAGCCUGACAGUACGAGUUACAGGUAUCUCGAGCAAAAUGUUCACAGACAGCUCUGAAUGCACUUGGGGCAAUUCUGCUCAAGGACUGCUCCAUCUGGCCGUGAGAUGCCAGAAGAGUCAUCUAGCAGCCAGCCCUUCACUGCACAGCCAGAUGACAUGGAAACAUUAAGACUAGAGCCUGGAAGUUAAUCUGUGGGGUUGUGUUGGUUUUUUUUUUUGCAGAAACAGUAUUCAUGAUUAACAUCCAGAAACACUGCCUUCAAAGAUGAUCUUCCUUUGUAUGACUGUUUCAGGAGCAAUACUUUUUAAAUGUGACAAGCUAUCUUUCUGCUAUAUUUCUAAUGCAACAAACUGUGUAGGUACCUGUCUGACCUAAACUACUGGGGCACUUCGUAAGAGACCAGUUCAAUUCCCUCAAUGCUUUAAAUUGAAGACUUUCUAAAAGAUUCACUCCAGCUCCACAGCAGACUGGCAAGAUACCCAUGUCAUCCCUGGCAGGGCAGGUUAACUUAUCAGAACAGCCCCCAGCCGCCAUUCUGCAGCCAGGAACACAACCAGCCACCAGGUACAGAGGUGGAAUGGGCAGGAAUGAGCUCACCAAAGAACACAAGAGGAACACUGCUUCUCUGAACUGGAACUUGGGCACUCAUCCAGCUAUGCAGAAGCCAGUAAAACCAUCCCAUCCCUAGGGAUGCUCAAAGCUAAUGCAGCUUAAGAGGCAAAAGUGGUACAAACACGUUGGUGAAAAGCCAGUGAAUCCUCCCUAGCAGCUCUUCUUCGGAAGAAAAAAAUCCCUCGCUGAGUCAUUAAGGGAGAGACUGGAGGGCGUUGCUCUCCCGGGGAGCCAUGGGUUUGUUUGGUAAAGAGCACAGGGCUUUGGAGUAGAAGACCAUGACAUACGUGCUUUGUGUCCUAGCCACGAUUAUUAUUUGUGAGAAGCAAUACCAAAUUCCUAACAUACCUUAACCAAGG
This is a non-coding RNA of Meleagris gallopavo (turkey), 2895 nucleotides long. The record is from RefSeq and is a predicted model, not a curated record. NCBI's taxonomy places the organism in Eukaryota, Metazoa, Chordata, Aves, Galliformes, Phasianidae.